UACGGAGGGAGCUAGCGUUGUUCGGAAUUACUGGGCGUAAAGCGCACGUAGGCGGCUUUGUAAGUUAGAGGUGAAAGCCCGGGGCUCAACUCCGGAACUGCCUUUAAGACUGCAUCGCUUGAAUCCAGGAGAGGUGAGUGGAAUUCCGAGUGUAGAGGUGAAAUUCGUAGAUAUUCGGAAGAACACCAGUGGCGAAGGCGGCCCACUGGACGACUGUUGACGCUGAGGUGCGAAAGCGUGGGGAGCAAACAGG
RNAcentral lists this ribosomal RNA (253 nucleotides) under uncultured bacterium. Its description in RNAcentral is "partial 16S ribosomal RNA". It matches the Rfam family "Bacterial small subunit ribosomal RNA", at positions 524 to 776 of the family's 1533-position model. The record is from RNAcentral.